CGGAGUAGCUCAGUUGGUAGAGCAACUCACUUGUAAUGAGUAGGUCGGGGGUUCGAGUCCUCUCUCC
RNAcentral lists this transfer RNA (67 nucleotides) under marine eukaryotic metagenome. It matches the Rfam family "tRNA". From Rfam's summary of the family: Transfer RNA (tRNA) molecules are approximately 80 nucleotides in length. The record is from RNAcentral.